GCUUGCUUCAGCAGCACAUACUAAAAUUGAAAUGAUACAAAGAAGACUAGCGUGGCCCCUGUACAAGGAUGACAUGAAAAUUUGUGAAACUUUCCAUAUUUUU
Small nuclear RNA from Phyllostomus hastatus (greater spear-nosed bat), 103 nucleotides. The record is from RefSeq and is a predicted model, not a curated record. NCBI's taxonomy places the organism in Eukaryota, Metazoa, Chordata, Mammalia, Chiroptera, Phyllostomidae.